This 2891-nucleotide ribosomal RNA is filed under the name Pseudomonas sp. ChxA. RNAcentral's name for it is "23S ribosomal RNA". It matches the Rfam family "Bacterial large subunit ribosomal RNA". Lineage: Bacteria; Pseudomonadati; Pseudomonadota; Gammaproteobacteria; Pseudomonadales; Pseudomonadaceae. The record is from RNAcentral.
GGUCAAGUGAAGAAGCGCAUACGGUGGAUGCCUUGGCAGUCAGAGGCGAUGAAAGACGUGGUAGCCUGCGAAAAGCUUCGGGGAGUCGGCAAACAGACUUUGAUCCGGAGAUGUCUGAAUGGGGGAACCCAGCCAUCAUAAGAUGGUUAUCUUACGCUGAAUACAUAGGCGUAAGAGGCGAACCAGGGGAACUGAAACAUCUAAGUACCCUGAGGAAAAGAAAUCAACCGAGAUUCCCUUAGUAGUGGCGAGCGAACGGGGACUAGCCCUUAAGUGGCUUUGAGAUUAGCGGAACGUUCUGGAAAGUACGGCCAUAGUGGGUGAUAGCCCUGUACGCGAAAAUCUCUUAGUCAUGAAAUCGAGUAGGACGGAGCACGAGAAACUUUGUCUGAAUAUGGGGGACCAUCCUCCAAGGCUAAAUACUACUGACUGACCGAUAGUGAACUAGUACCGUGAGGGAAAGGCGAAAAGAACCCCGGAGAGGGGAGUGAAAUAGAUCCUGAAACCGUAUGCGUACAAGCAGUGGGAGCCCACUUUGUUGGGUGACUGCGUACCUUUUGUAUAAUGGGUCAGCGACUUAUUUUCAGUGGCGAGCUUAACCGAAUAGGGGAGGCGUAGCGAAAGCGAGUCUUAAUAGGGCGUCUAGUCGCUGGGAAUAGACCCGAAACCGGGCGAUCUAUCCAUGGGCAGGUUGAAGGUUGGGUAACACUAACUGGAGGACCGAACCGACUACCGUUGAAAAGUUAGCGGAUGACCUGUGGAUCGGAGUGAAAGGCUAAUCAAGCUCGGAGAUAGCUGGUUCUCCUCGAAAGCUAUUUAGGUAGCGCCUCAUGUAUCACUGUAGGGGGUAGAGCACUGUUUCGGCUAGGGGGUCAUCCCGACUUACCAAACCGAUGCAAACUCCGAAUACCUACAAGUGCCGAGCAUGGGAGACACACGGCGGGUGCUAACGUCCGUCGUGAAAAGGGAAACAACCCAGACCGUCAGCUAAGGUCCCAAAGUUAUGGUUAAGUGGGAAACGAUGUGGGAAGGCUUAGACAGCUAGGAGGUUGGCUUAGAAGCAGCCACCCUUUAAAGAAAGCGUAAUAGCUCACUAGUCGAGUCGGCCUGCGCGGAAGAUGUAACGGGGCUCAAACCAUACACCGAAGCUACGGGUAUCACGUAAGUGAUGCGGUAGAGGAGCGUUCUGUAAGCCUGUGAAGGUGAGUUGAGAAGCUUGCUGGAGGUAUCAGAAGUGCGAAUGCUGACAUGAGUAACGACAAUGGGUGUGAAAAACACCCACGCCGAAAGACCAAGGUUUCCUGCGCAACGUUAAUCGACGCAGGGUUAGUCGGUCCCUAAGGCGAGGCUGAAAAGCGUAGUCGAUGGAAAACAGGUUAAUAUUCCUGUACUUCUGGUUAUUGCGAUGGAGGGACGGAGAAGGCUAGGCCAGCUUGGCGUUGGUUGUCCAAGUUUAAGGUGGUAGGCUGGAAUCUUAGGUAAAUCCGGGAUUCUAAGGCCGAGAGCUGAUGACGAGCUAACUUUUAGUUAGCGAAGUGGUUGAUGCCAUGCUUCCAAGAAAAGCUUCUAAGCUUCAGGUAACCAGGAACCGUACCCCAAACCGACACAGGUGGUUGGGUAGAGAAUACCAAGGCGCUUGAGAGAACUCGGGUGAAGGAACUAGGCAAAAUGGCACCGUAACUUCGGGAGAAGGUGCGCCGGUGAGGGUGAAGGACUUGCUCCGUAAGCUCAUGCCGGUCGAAGAUACCAGGCCGCUGCGACUGUUUAUUAAAAACACAGCACUCUGCAAACACGAAAGUGGACGUAUAGGGUGUGACGCCUGCCCGGUGCCGGAAGGUUAAUUGAUGGGGUUAGCUAACGCGAAGCUCUUGAUCGAAGCCCCGGUAAACGGCGGCCGUAACUAUAACGGUCCUAAGGUAGCGAAAUUCCUUGUCGGGUAAGUUCCGACCUGCACGAAUGGCGUAACGAUGGCGGCGCUGUCUCCACCCGAGACUCAGUGAAAUUGAAAUCGCUGUGAAGAUGCAGUGUAUCCGCGGCUAGACGGAAAGACCCCGUGAACCUUUACUAUAGCUUUGCACUGGACUUUGAAUUUGCUUGUGUAGGAUAGGUGGGAGGCUUUGAAGCGUGGACGCCAGUCUGCGUGGAGCCAACCUUGAAAUACCACCCUGGCAACUUUGAGGUUCUAACUCAGGUCCGUUAUCCGGAUCGAGGACAGUGUAUGGUGGGUAGUUUGACUGGGGCGGUCUCCUCCUAAAGAGUAACGGAGGAGUACGAAGGUGCGCUCAGACCGGUCGGAAAUCGGUCGUAGAGUAUAAAGGCAAAAGCGCGCUUGACUGCGAGACAGACACGUCGAGCAGGUACGAAAGUAGGUCUUAGUGAUCCGGUGGUUCUGUAUGGAAGGGCCAUCGCUCAACGGAUAAAAGGUACUCCGGGGAUAACAGGCUGAUACCGCCCAAGAGUUCAUAUCGACGGCGGUGUUUGGCACCUCGAUGUCGGCUCAUCACAUCCUGGGGCUGAAGCCGGUCCCAAGGGUAUGGCUGUUCGCCAUUUAAAGUGGUACGCGAGCUGGGUUUAGAACGUCGUGAGACAGUUCGGUCCCUAUCUGCCGUGGACGUUUGAGAUUUGAGAGGGGCUGCUCCUAGUACGAGAGGACCGGAGUGGACGAACCUCUGGUGUUCCGGUUGUCACGCCAGUGGCAUUGCCGGGUAGCUAUGUUCGGAAUAGAUAACCGCUGAAAGCAUCUAAGCGGGAAACUAGCCUCAAGAUGAGAUCUCACUGGGACCUUGAGUCCCCUGAAGGGCCGUCGAAGACUACGACGUUGAUAGGUUGGGUGUGUAAGCGCUGUGAGGCGUUGAGCUAACCAAUACUAAUUGCCCGUGAGGCUUGACCAU